GAUGAACGCUGGCGGCGUGCCUAAUACAUGCAAGUCGAGCGAACAGACGAGGAGCUUGCUCCUCUGACGUUAGCGGCGGACGGGUGAGUAACACGUGGAUAACCUACCUAUAAGACUGGGAUAACUUCGGGAAACCGGAGCUAAUACCGGAUAAUAUAUUGAACCGCAUGGUUCAAUAGUGAAAGACGGUUUUGCUGUCACUUAUAGAUGGAUCCGCGCCGCAUUAGCUAGUUGGUAAGGUAACGGCUUACCAAGGCAACGAUGCGUAGCCGACCUGAGAGGGUGAUCGGCCACACUGGAACUGAGACACGGUCCAGACUCCUACGGGAGGCAGCAGUAGGGAAUGUUCCGCAAAGGGCGAAAGCUUGACGGAGCAACGCCGCGUGAGUGAUGAAGGUCUUCGGAUCGUAAAACUCUGUUAUUAGGGAAGAACAAAUGUGUAAGUAACUAUGCACGUCUUGACGGUACCUAAUCAGAAAGCCACGGCUAACUACGUG
Molecule: ribosomal RNA, 497 nt
Filed under: uncultured bacterium
Lineage: Bacteria
Description: partial 16S ribosomal RNA
Rfam family: Bacterial small subunit ribosomal RNA
Source: RNAcentral